RNAcentral lists this long non-coding RNA (1129 nucleotides) under Calidris pugnax (ruff). Its description in RNAcentral is "lncRNA (ENSCPUG00000009558.1)". Lineage: Eukaryota; Metazoa; Chordata; Aves; Charadriiformes; Scolopacidae. The record is from RNAcentral.
GUCCUUGGCUUACCUUUCCCUGAAUAAACAAGUGCCCGUGAUAGGAUGGUAAUUGCCCAAAGCAAUCCUUGCCAAACCAGUGCAGAUUACGGGAGCGCCUGUUGCUGACUGUUCAGUGCUGGGAUCUCUGCUCCAAGAGUAUCUGGAAAAAGGUGAGACACCAGAUUAAAGUCUGAGAGAUGAAGCAGUUCCUGCCUCGUGACUUUCCCAGAGGUCGCUGCCUUUGUGGAGCCAUGUCCCUGCACAUUUCAGCAUCACCAGAUUGCUCCAAUCAGUUACAGGUAUUCUUCAAAACUUUGGGCUAUAGAAGCCUGGUUCUGGAGCAGCUUCCUCUGUGGUCCAGCUCUCCUGCUGAUUGGAGCCAUAAGCUCUGGGAGGAAGGCUUCUGCUGUCAGACCAUCUGCAGCUGUUGUCGGUCGACCAUUGAUGUGACCUCUGAGAGGCAGAGACCCAUUCUGUUCCCUAGCUGGUCGUUCAAGUCUUUUUAUUCUAGCAUUUAAAUUGGAUUUUAUUUAAUUUUAUUUAAAUCCAUUAUAUCAACACUUAAUGAACAGAAGCCCUCCCGCUCUGCUCUGUAGCAUCCCAUUGUAUACCAGCAUUUUAUUAUUUUUAGUGUCCUAUACAUAUUCAUUUCUCUUAAUCUUUCAUGCUAAUGUAUGUUUCCCUUUCACAUUCUUUUUCUCUUCUUGAUUAUUAUUAAAUGCCUGGAUGAUACUUAAAUGUCAGAAAAGCCCUGAGAAAUGCCACAUACUGGAGGAGAGCAGAAUAGUUUAUGUUUAAAAAGCCCUGAGUGUGGUAAUAUCUGCGUUUUGGGCUGUGGGGCUGUUCUGACCACCCCUCAGCAAAAAUAGAUCUCUUGAGAGAAAUAGAUUUAUGUUGCUGAUGGUGUUUUGAUUUUGAACUUUGAGACUGAAAUUGGAGGUGGAGAAACGAAUCCUAUCUUCUCUCUGGUUCAUCUCUGCCCUGACAUGAUAAUGGGUCACUUGGAACAAUCAGCUGGUUUCAUUAAUUAUUACUGCUAACACAUGGCAAAAGCAAUUUGAGAUUCACUGGAUGUGUGUGGGUCUGUUGAAGAAAAUGUAAAGGGGGCAAUUAUCAAUCUGAAAAUAAAUGAGAGUGGCAAGUGCCA